Molecule: non-coding RNA, 74 nt
Organism: Podarcis lilfordi (Lilford's wall lizard)
Lineage: Eukaryota; Metazoa; Chordata; Lepidosauria; Squamata; Lacertidae
Source: the annotation of a GenBank genome assembly
GGAGGGCCGUAGCUCAGAAGCAGAGCACCUGCCUUGAGUGCAGAAGGUCCCAGCUUCAAUCCCUAGCACCUCCA